Molecule: ribosomal RNA, 253 nt
Filed under: uncultured bacterium
Lineage: Bacteria
Description: partial 16S ribosomal RNA
Rfam family: Bacterial small subunit ribosomal RNA
Source: RNAcentral
UACGAAGGGGGCUAGCGUUGCUCGGAAUCACUGGGCGUAAAGCGCACGUAGGCGGAUUGCUAAGUCAGGGGUGAAAUCCUGGAGCUCAACUCCAGAACUGCCUUUGAUACUGAAGAUCUUGAGUCCGGGAGAGGUGAGUGGAACUGCGAGUGUAGAGGUGAAAUUCGUAGAUAUUCGCAAGAACACCAGUGGCGAAGGCGGCUCACUGGCCCGGUACUGACGCUGAGGCACGAAAGCGUGGGGAGCAAACAGG